RNAcentral lists this ribosomal RNA (570 nucleotides) under Helicotylenchus depressus. Its description in RNAcentral is "eukaryotic LSU rRNA". It matches the Rfam family "Eukaryotic large subunit ribosomal RNA", at positions 405 to 813 of the family's 3401-position model. The record is from RNAcentral. Lineage: Eukaryota; Metazoa; Nematoda; Chromadorea; Rhabditida; Hoplolaimidae.
CCGAUGAGGUGGAAACGGACAGAGCUGGCGUAUCUGGCCUGCAUUCAGCCGCGCGCUGUAGGCCCCACUGUUUGCUGCACUCCAGACUGGGAAGGCGGCGUGGGUGUCGACGGCGAGCGGUGCAUUUGCAGGUGGAGUGCGCCGAGGUGCUCGGCUCAGCGGCAUGAGCUCAGCUUUGAGGCUGACCGCGCAAGCGGAAGGUACCCGGGCUGGGGGAGUGUUGUUUGUGCUGGGUGUUGUGGCUGUGGUAUCGGGCCCGUGUGGGUGCUGAGCUGGCGGUCGGUGGCGGUCGCGUGCGACACGUGCCAGCAGUCAGUUCGGUCCUGCUCGAGCUCUCAGCGGCCCAGCCUCGGUGUAAAAGCCGGUCAUCUGUCCGACCCGUCUUGAAACACGGACCAAGGAGUUUAGCGUGUGCGCGAGUCAUUGGGCGUUGAAAACCCAAAGGCGCAAUGAAAGUGAAGGUCUGCCUUGUGCAGCUGAUGUGUGAUCCCGGGCGCUUCGGCGGCCGGGCGCAACAUAGUCCCGUCCCGACUGCAUGCAGUGGGGCGGAGACAGAGCGUACGCGCUGAG